GACGAACCGUGCAAACGUUAUUCGGAAUCACUGGGCAUAAAGGGCGCGUAGGCGGCUUUCUAAGUCAGGGGUGAAAUCCGGCAGCUCAACUGUCGCAGUGCCUUUGAUACUGGAGAGCUCGAGGGAGGUAGGGGUCUGUGGAACUUCCGGUGGAGCGGUGAAAUGCGUAGAGAUCGGGCGGAACACCAGCGGCGAAGGCGGCAUCCUGGCGCGUAACUGACGCUGAGGUGCGAAAGCCAGGGGAGCGAACGGG
RNAcentral lists this ribosomal RNA (253 nucleotides) under uncultured bacterium. RNAcentral's name for it is "partial 16S ribosomal RNA". It matches the Rfam family "Bacterial small subunit ribosomal RNA", at positions 524 to 776 of the family's 1533-position model. The record is from RNAcentral.